RNAcentral lists this unclassified non-coding RNA (9016 nucleotides) under Helicoverpa zea (corn earworm). RNAcentral's name for it is "endoribonuclease Dcr-1, transcript variant X2". The record is from RNAcentral. Lineage: Eukaryota; Metazoa; Arthropoda; Insecta; Lepidoptera; Noctuidae.
UUGCGACUCCCGAUCGCUACUUGCUGAGCUUUAUUCCGACUUGUUUGUUACUUAAAUUGUCGAUUAUAUUCUUAACAACUAGGAAUAAGCGUUCUGCGAUCAUAGAACAGAGCUUAGAUCAUCGUAUGGUGACUUAGUUUGUCUUAUAAGUCGUGUAUUUGCGAAAACAUGUAGCUUAUAAGUAUGUGUCGGCUUUAGUGAUCAUAUUUCACGGUUCCGAUAACAGUUUGUUUCAUUGUGUCGCGAGAAACGAAGUGUUAUGUUCGUGUUUUAGCGUUUAGCAGCCGUUAGGAGUUUGAAACUUCACGAUGAUGGAAGCAUGCUGUUCUCGCUUCACGUCAGCGGAGGGGGGCGCCCGCCUCGCUGCCGCCGCCGCCACCAAGAACAUUCUUGCAGUAGAGUACGCUAGCUUCAUACCCGUGAGGCUGUUGUAUGAGAAGGCCUAUCAGAUUAGAGGCUCUCUAUCUGAAGGGCGCAAACGCUCAGUCUACAUUACCCGCGCGUCCCGGGUACGAGUGGUGGCCUUCGAGCUGAAGAUACUCACAGACUUGGCCACGGCGGCUGCUCAGCUGUACCCUGACGUGAACGAUUGGAGCGCCGAGUUGGAGACCAAGGAGGUCCUAAUCUGCACGUCCUCAGUGCUGAAGCGGCUGCUAGAGGAACAACUCCUGAGCAUCAGCAACAUCAACGUGCUCAUCAUAGACAGCUGUCAUCUCAUAUACAGCGACCAGGACUUGAAAUAUAUAAUGCGAUCAUACAAAGAAUGCCCACAAGCAGACCAACCAACCAUACUAGCUCUCACUUACCCUCUAUUUUCAACAAAAAAAGACUUAGAUAAAGACAAUAAAAAUAAACCUAAUGACACAAACAACACACAGAAAGAUCUAGAACAACAAUCUCCUGAAAAAGAGAGUGAGAUUGAAGAAGAGAAUACUACAGGAAAGAUGGAGAUUGAAAAUACAAAAAAUGUUGAAAAUGAUAAUUCAAAAACAGAGAAUGAGAUUGAAGGUAAAGAAAUAGCCUUAAAAGAAGAAAUGACAAAUGGAGAAGGAGAAAGACAUGUACAAGUAGUGAAACAACAAGAGUUAGGAGAAGAGAUGGGAGUGUAUGAGAAUUUGGAUGAUUUCGACAUGUAUGAGAAGUUAGAGUGGAAGAUAGAAGAGUUGGAGAGUGAGUUGUGCUGUCAGAUGGACUUGGCUGAAGAUAUUGAUGGCGGGAAGAGGACGGCCUCCUCAAUCUCGAAGCCCAAAGAGCUAAUCAUAGAGUACGGUAGCCGUCCAUCAGACGAGACGCUGCCCGCUCUGUACCAAGAUGUAGAUACAUACAUGAGAGUGACCGUACAAGACGCUUUACACUUCAUUGAUGAUCACCGCCAUGACCCCACAGAAAUAUACGGCGAGGAGAUGUAUGACGAGUUCAUGAGUAUUCCGGACCCCAAGAUAGACCCCACGCUGGUGUUCAAGCAGUUCCUAUACGUGCUCGAUCAGUUGGGCCCCUACGCAGCGGACAAAGCAGCUUUCGCAUUACUAACAAAAUUAGAAAAACUCAAAAUCAAAAUACCUUAUGAACGCCACUUCAUACUCAUGUGUUUAUGUACCACAGUAUUUUUGAAAAUCCGAUGCUACGCCGAAAUGAUUUUCGAAAAAGUCGACGACGAAUGGGAAAGAUUAAAGACCUUUUCGUCGCCGAAAAUCAUGAGAUUGGCCGAAAUUUUGGAGAAGUUCAAACCGCCGGAUAUUCGGCCUAAUAAUUCGGCUGUUAACGGAAAGGAUAGUCGGGAUAGUAAGGAUAGAGCAAAUGAGGUUGUGUCUACUGGUUGUGAUAACUUAAGUAAAGGGAAUUUAAAGAAAAUGUUAAGUGAAAUAGAAGAUUGUGAUUUCGCAUCUUUAGGCGACAGAAUUGAAGAUCGAGUGAAUACUUACGUUUGUAAUUUAAAAGACCUUGACUAUCCUAUAGAAGACUAUCCUUUAAGUAUUAAUAGCCAAAUCCUUUUAGAUCAGGAUAUUAACGAGACAGAUAUUCCUGAAUCGGCUGAAGAUAUUUCUAAUAAUGAAAGUUCAACUAUCCCAACUGAAACAACCAAUCUUAUUACGAAUGACCGGGAUAGUGCAGAAAAAUCAAUUAAUCGAACGGAUAGUGGUGUUAAUAUCCCGGAUAGUUGCGUUAACGGGCCGGAUAGUAGUGUUAAUCAGCCGGAUAGUCGUAAUACUGAAGUGGCGUUACAACAGCGAGGAAUGUUAGGGUUUCCUAGACGUGCAGGGUACAGGAUGAGGGGCAAGUCUCGGAUGCAACGCAACAAUGCAGCGAGGGUGCUGCAGAUGCAACAGAACCCAGAUGCACUUUGUGGCAUCGUGUUCAUGAAGGAGCCGCUGAUGGCUAAGAUCCUGUUUAUGGUGCUCGUGGAUAUGUCCCGGAGUAACCCCCACUUGUCGUACCUGAGCGUACAAUACUGCGGCACGGAGCUGCCGGCCGACCCCGGGACUGAGCCCCGCGAGUGUCUGCGCCAGGGGAAGCGCCAGGAGGACGUGCUCAAGAAAUUCCGCAUGCACGAGUGUAACCUGCUUCUAGCGACGUCUGCGCUAGAAGAGGGCAUUGACCUCCCGCGGUGUAACCUUGUACUAAGAUGGGACGUACCGCCCUCCUACCGCUCGUACGGUCUCUGUCGCGGCCGAGCCCGUGCCACUCGCGCGACAGCCGCGCUACUGUGCAGCAACAGUCGCGACACUACUGAGAUGUUGCUGCAGAAUGUCGCUACUUACAGGGAGCUGGAUCAGAUUAUCAGCAGAAAAUGCGGCUGUGGCAUUCAGGAUGAGCCUCCGCAAACCGAGGAAGAUCACGCGGACGCUUUCACAAGCUUCGUCAAACCCUACACUCCUAUAGAUAGUACUAGCCAAAAUAUACAGGAAAGCAAAGAUACCAAAGAAAAAGAUAAAGAUAAGAAUGAGAGCAAAGAUAAAAAUGCAGCUAGCAAAAGUAAAAAAGUUAAGUUCGAAAGUAAAGUUCAAGAAAAAGUUAUAACUGAUAAUGCAAAUGGGGUAGACACGGGUAAUAAUAAUAUAAGAUUAAAUAGUUCUGUGGAUAAUAAUGUAAGUUUAAAUAACGAUAAUGCGAAUAUUCAUUCCAAAAAUAACAACGAAAAUGUUACUUUAAAUGAAGAAGUUAACACUAAAAAUAAUGCCGAAAACAUUAUUAAUAAUGCAGUGAAAACAGUUAAUAAUGUUGUUAAAUCUGUUAACGAAGUCAUUAAUAAUGUUAACGAAGCUGUUAAUAUAGGAAUUAACGAUCUCAUUAACCAAAUUAUUGACGAAACCGCUAGUUUGAAUGUUAGUGAUGAAAUAGAAAACAAUAAUGGUGAGAUUUCUAAUAGUAUAGACGCUGAAACGUCACAGAAUAGCGAAACUGGUGAAUUAGAGGUAAAAUUGGACAAAAAUCAUGUUGAUAUCGAUAAUCAUUCGAUUAAAAACGACUCGAUAACAAAUGAAAUCGAUAUUAAGCCAAUUAAAACUGAAAUCGAAAAUCAUUCGAGUACAAACGACUCGAUAAGAACCGAAACCGAUAUCGAACCAAAUACAAGCAAAAUCGAUAAACGAUCGAAUGACAAAGAAGAAUCGAAUAAAGAAAUCGAGUUAUCGUUCAAUAAUUGUGAGAAGUGUUACAAUGUGAAGAUCAGUGGUGUGUGUCUGUGUGCGAAUGUUAAUAUGUACUAUCAACUCUUAGCUAAAGCUAGUGCGAUGAAUAAAUCGGAUUUCAAGAAGAAUAUUAGUGAAAAUGAACCUACUGCUAGCGUUGAUUUGAGUACUGCCAUUGCGUUAAUUAAUAGAUACUGCGGCAAACUACCUUCAGACACAUUCACCCGGCUAGCUCCUCAGUGGUGGAUGGAAGAGAUCCAACUGCCGGUAGCCGGGUCCAAUGAUACCCGGACUGCUUACAUCUGCACGCUGCGGCUGCCUCUCAACUGCCCCGUCAAGUAUAAUAUAGUGGGACACCCGAUGCCCACUAAGGUGUUGGCGCGAAGGAUGGUGGCGCUACAAGCAUGCAGGAUACUGCACAAGAGUGGAGAACUCGAUAACCAGCUGAUGCCUAUAGGUAAAGAGAAUUUCAAGGCGGCUGAGCUGGGCGGGUCGGGCGUUACUCGGGAGGCGGAUGCCGGUGACUCAGCCCGCCCCGGCACCACCAAGCGCAGGCAGUAUUACUAUAAACGAACAGCAUGGGCAUUCACGGACUGCCAGCCGGUCAUAGACUCCACGGACGAGGAGAUAUACCCGGGCGUAGACCCGAGCACGUUGGACAUAGACAGCGACACAGAGCCGGGACAGUCGGAGGAUAGUCAGAAGGAAGAGGGGGGUGAGGAAGUCAGGAAAGAGGGGGGAGGUAAUAAACGCAACAUGCUAUACGCGAUAGUGUGCAAGCUGUGGUGUGCUCUCCCGGAGCGCUACAACACGCGCGGGCGCCGCCUGCACGCGCCGCAGCUCGCCAGCCAGGCCAUCGGCAUCCUCAUGUCGCGGCACGAGCCUGACAGCCUUCAGAUCCCGGCGUUCCCUGUGUACACUCGGUCAGGCGAGGUCAGGGUGUCUGUGGAGCAUGUACCGUCAGCAGAUGUACGGGUCUGCCCGCGCAGAGCCAAGCUGGUCAGGAGAUUCAUGCGCUUCGUGUUCGCGGAGGUGCUGCGAGUGCGAAGACGCGGCAUGAAGUUACAGAGCGAAGGCUCUACGCACAACAACUACUAUAUCGUGCCUACUGUUAAGACUACGAAUGAAGAUGGUACCCAUAAAAUAGACAUAGACUGGGCAUUCCUAGAACUGAUCUACCAACAUACAGAAGAAAAAAAACUCUCUGACAUAGAGAAACCGCUCCUCUGGCAAGACAACCCGGAUGAAGAGCAUAGAGUGGAGAGGGAGAGCCAUAGACGGAGGAGGGGGAAGAAGAGGAUGGCUAAUCCUCUUUUGAAGAAAGGAGAAGUGUUUGUGUUUGACGCUGAGAAGUAUAGCGAGGCGGUCGUCACUCCGUGGUAUAGGAAUCAGGAUCAGCCACAGUUCUUCCUCGUAGCGGAGAUCUGUUGGAACCUGACUCCCGACUCCUCAUUCCCGUCAGCGACCCACCAGAGCUUCAGAGACUACUACAGCACUAAGUACGGAGUCAGCCUGACCCAGAGGGAACAGCCGCUGUUAGAUGUAGACCACACCAGUGCCAGGCUCAACCUGCUCACUCCCAGAUACGUGAACCGCAAAGGCGUGGCGCUUCCAGUGUCCUCCGAGCGUACUCGCCGAGCCAAACGCGACCGCCUCGACCAGAAACAGAUCCUUAUACCCGAGCUGUGCCGGGUGCAUCCAUUCGCUGCACCUCUGUGGUUCGCUACAGUGGCGCUGCCCUGUGUACUGUACAGAAUAAAUGCCCUUCUCAUAGCGGAUGAGAUCCGUCGCGCGGUGGCCAUCGACGUGGGGCUCGGCAUACCCAAGAUCAACGAGGACACCAUGCCGGGCUUCCAGUGGCCUGCACUCGACUUCGGGUGGAGUCUAGCUGAGGUAUUGAGCGCAGAUUCAGAGAAGAAUGAUAAGAAGAAAGAAGAGGAAGAAUCUAAGAAAGAAAAAGAAGAAAAAGAAAAGAAGCAAAUCGAAGAAGGACAGAAGAGCACAGAAGUGGAGAAGAGUGAAGAAGUCAGAGAGAAGACUAUCAACGAUAUACUGCAGGAGAAGGAGGACGCUGCCGCUGAGGCGUUUGAAAUCGGCACUUGGAGCAACGACAUGGCGUCUUCCAUCCCCGAGUCGAGCGAGUUCGACGAGCUCAUGGAACCGCUGCCUUCUAACCUCACCUUCUGCACUUCUGCGAGUGGCGGCACCGACUGGUGCGAUCCUACAGGCAGGCACAAGUACAGCAAGAACUUCGCCAUGGCCGACAGUGAUGACUCUUUUAUGUCCAGUGACCUGGACUCGGAUGACUCUGACCUGGAUUACGACGGGACGGACGAAGAGACUGACACCAGUGGCUACGGGAGCGCCAAGAAUCCUAACACAUCAAUGGGCGUCCGCAUAGAAUACAAGACAGCUCACGAGGCUGAAGCGUUCGACAUCGAGCGAGUCAAGAAGGUCAACCCGGCACCGCUGCCCGACGAACAUGAUGACGCAGCCGACAGGGACGAACACGACAGGGUUAUACGCCAGGGCAGUGCGCCACAAGAGUACAUCGAAAAAUUCCGCGCCUCAGUAGCCCAACAUAAACAAGAGAUCAUACAAAAGAACCACCUAAUUACCAAAGACAACCACAUCACAGACAUCUUACCAGAGACUAAAGACUCCUACCAUAGUGCAGUCAUCUGUAAACGCAGCGAGAACGAUGCUAUCACCGAACUCUUUCCUUAUGGCACAGACGAAUUAACCGUCAAAAACGGACAAAUUGACAUUGAAAGCAUAGAAAAAAAUAAACGAAAAAUUCUCCAAGAUUUGAAGAAUAAUUUGCCUAAGGAAGAAGUGAAGAAGUUGAAUUGUUUCGCUAUGAAAGACAUAAACAUUGAUUCGGAAGAUUAUGUGAAUGAAAAAGUGGUGAAUGUUGGUUUCGAUACGAAAGAAGGGUAUGAGAAGGCCAGUAAAGGGGUGGGGGAGUUUAAGCCCUAUUAUGAAGACGGGAGGGGGGGCAAGGAGUUUGAUUUUGAUUACCAACCGACGCUAGAAGGACAUCCGGGGCCAAGUCCUAGUGUUAUAUUGCAGGCGCUAACAAUGUCGAAUGCCAACGACGGCAUCAACCUGGAACGACUGGAGACCAUCGGAGACAGCUUCCUCAAGUUCGCCAUCACAGCAUAUCUGUACUGCGCCCACCCCACUGUGCACGAGGGCAAGCUCAGCCAUAUGCGCAGCAAGCAGGUAUCGAACCUCAAUCUAUACCGCCUAGGACGCAACAAACGUCUCGGAGCGCGGAUGAUCGCGUCUAAGUUCGAACCUCACGACAAUUGGCUGCCGCCCUGUCAUAAACCACCGCCUACGCUACAUCCUAGGAUCAAUGGCGAAGGCAAAGACAUAAUGCAGCACUUGGACACGCCGCAGGACUCGGCCGGAUGCUUCAUACCUUACAACCUCAUCACGCAGCAUAGCAUACCAGACAAGUCAAUAGCGGAUUGCGUGGAAGCCCUAAUAGGCGCGUACCUGCUAGAGUGCGGUCCCCGCGGAGCCCUGCUGUUCAUGUCGUGGCUCGGCAUCCGGGUGCUGCCGUGCCACCACGUGGCUCUGCACGACACCCACCCCUACGUGGCUACUGCCACCCGCAGCGACAAGCAGCAGGCCGAGGCUUCCCCCCGUGGGCCGCGCAGCCGCGUGUCGUCGUGCUCGGAGGACGAGGCGGAGGAGGUGUUCCCGGCGCAGUCGUGGUCGUGGCCGUCGCGGGCUGUCGGCUCGCUGAGGCCUUAUACUGAUGAGAACGGACGGUGGAUGCAGCCGAUAUUCGGGGAGCUGAAGGCGCCGCCGUCACCUCUGCUCCGGUACAUUGAGGACCCCGACGGAGAGUUGGAACAAAUGCUCUCAGGCUACGACGCCCUAGAGCGCACGCUGCAGUACCGCUUCAAGGACCGCUCGCUGCUGCUGCAGGCGCUGACGCACGCCUCGCAUCACGCCAACCGCCUCACCGACUGCUACCAGCGCCUCGAGUUCCUCGGAGACGCUAUACUGGGUAAUGUUAUACCACGCUGCAGUACCGCUUCAAGGACCGCUCGCUGCUGCUGCAGGCGCUGACGCACGCCUCGCAUCACGCCAACCGCCUCACCGACUGCUACCAGCGCCUCGAGUUCCUCGGAGACGCUAUACUGGGUAAUGUUAUACCACGCUGCAGUACCGCUUCAAGGACCGCUCGCUGCUGCUGCAGGCGCUGACGCACGCCUCGCAUCACGCCAACCGCCUCACCGACUGCUACCAGCGCCUCGAGUUCCUCGGAGACGCUAUACUGGGUAAUGUUAUACCACGCUGCAGUACCGCUUCAAGGACCGCUCGCUGCUGCUGCAGGCGCUGACGCACGCCUCGCAUCACGCCAACCGCCUCACCGACUGCUACCAGCGCCUCGAGUUCCUCGGAGACGCUAUACUGGGUAAUGUUAUACCACGCUGCAGUACCGCUUCAAGGACCGCUCGCUGCUGCUGCAGGCGCUGACGCACGCCUCGCAUCACGCCAACCGCCUCACCGACUGCUACCAGCGCCUCGAGUUCCUCGGAGACGCUAUACUGGGUAAUGUUAUACCACGCUGCAGUACCGCUUCAAGGACCGCUCGCUGCUGCUGCAGGCGCUGACGCACGCCUCGCAUCACGCCAACCGCCUCACCGACUGCUACCAGCGCCUCGAGUUCCUCGGAGACGCUAUACUGGGUAAUGUUAUACCACGCUGCAGUACCGCUUCAAGGACCGCUCGCUGCUGCUGCAGGCGCUGACGCACGCCUCGCAUCACGCCAACCGCCUCACCGACUGCUACCAGCGCCUCGAGUUCCUCGGAGACGCUAUACUGGGUAAUGUUAUACCACGCUGCAGUACCGCUUCAAGGACCGCUCGCUGCUGCUGCAGGCGCUGACGCACGCCUCGCAUCACGCCAACCGCCUCACCGACUGCUACCAGCGCCUCGAGUUCCUCGGAGACGCUAUACUGGGUAAUGUUAUACCACGCUGCAGUACCGCUUCAAGGACCGCUCGCUGCUGCUGCAGGCGCUGACGCACGCCUCGCAUCACGCCAACCGCCUCACCGACUGCUACCAGCGCCUCGAGUUCCUCGGAGACGCUAUACUGGGUAAUGUUAUACCACGCUGCAGUACCGCUUCAAGGACCGCUCGCUGCUGCUGCAGGCGCUGACGCACGCCUCGCAUCACGCCAACCGCCUCACCGACUGCUACCAGCGCCUCGAGUUCCUCGGAGACGCUAUACUGGACUACCUGAUCACGCGUCACCUGUACGAGGACGGGCGGCGACACUCGCCGGGCGCGCUGACGGACCUGCGCUCGGCGCUCGUCAACAACACCAUCUUCGCCACCCUCGCCGCCAGGCACGGCUUCCACAA